GACGAACGCUGGCGGCGUGCUUAACACAUGCAAGUCGAACGGAAAGGCCCUGCUUUUGUGGGGUGCUCGAGUGGCGAACGGGUGAGUAACACGUGGGUAACCUGCCCUUGACUUUGGGAUAACUUCAGGAAACUGGGGCUAAUACCGGAUAGGAGCUCCUGCUGCAUGGUGGGGGUUGGAAAGUUUCGGCGGUUGGGGAUGGACUCGCGGCUUAUCAGCUUGUUGGUGGGGUAGUGGCUUACCAAGGCUUUGACGGGUAGCCGGCCUGAGAGGGUGACCGGCCACAUUUGGACUGAGAUACGGCCCAGACUCCUACGGGAGGCAGCAGUGGGGAAUAUUGCACAAUGGGCGGAAGCCUGAUGCAGCAACGCCGCGUGCGGGAUGACGGCCUUCGGGUUGUAAACCGCUUUCGCCUGUGACGAAGCGUGAGUGACGGUAAUGGGUAAAGAAGCACCGGCUAACUACGUG
RNAcentral lists this ribosomal RNA (468 nucleotides) under uncultured bacterium. RNAcentral's name for it is "partial 16S ribosomal RNA". It matches the Rfam family "Bacterial small subunit ribosomal RNA", at positions 28 to 507 of the family's 1533-position model. The record is from RNAcentral.